CCCCCCCUCUCUCUCUCUCUCUCUCUCUCUCUCUCUCUCUCUCUCUCUCUCUCUCUCUCUCUCUCUCUCUCUCUCUCUCUCUCUCUCUCUCUCUCUCUCUCUCUCUCUCUCUCUCUCUCUUUCUCUCUCUUUCUCUCUCUUUCUCUCUCUUUCUCUCUCUCUCUUUCUCUCUCUUUCUCUCUCUCUCUUUCUCUCUCUCUCUCUCUCUCUCUUUCUCUCUCUUUCUCUUCUCUCUCCAACAUCUCUCGCGUUAACGAACAUUAUUUCAUUUCUCACUUAUAUAUAUAUAUAUAUAUUUAUUGGUCUUCACACGCUCCCUCCCCAAGUGGAACAAUGCAACGGCUCAUUUCUGAUGGCGACAUCAUACCUGUCUUGGCAACUUUUUUGUUUCCUCUUCCAUAUAUAUUAUUUUUUCUGCACACUCCACUCGACUGCUUUCGAGAGAAAGUCACAACCAGGAUUUAUUUUUUAAUGUACUUUAAUAAUUUUUUUUAUCUGAUUCGUUUUUGUACUUUCUGUGUGUUUUUGCGCGUAGAAAAACAGCUUGAGAUUCUGCAACGAUGCGUAUUCAGGUGGAUUGCUUAAAAAUAUAUCUUAUUUUAUUUGUGCGCGGUGUUUUUGCCUGUGCUCAAGUGGAAGUACAAGCGUGCGUCUUCGUGAGUGUGAUCGUGUGCCAGUAAUUACCAAAGUGUGUGUCAGGGUGUGUGAGAGCGGUGCGUCGCAUUUAAACAGAUUGCGCACAUUCGUAAGGGUCCAUUUAUGCUUUAAAACAAAAUAGCCCCUUUUAUUUUUUUCUGCAAUUUUAUUUUCAAUUGUUAUAUAUCUGCCUGUUAGUUUGGAAAUGCUAUGCUACGUAUUGUUAGAUUUAUUCUUAUUUUAUUUGUUAAAUUGUCUUGAUUAUUGCACAUGCAUGAUUAUUAUCAUUCCGUUCAUUUUUAAAUAAUUUAUUGUUUGUCAGAUUGGCCACACAACUAAUUUGGCAAUGAGAAAUAGUAUAUGCAUCUUAAUAUACUUUAUUAAAAAAUAUUGUGCAUUCAUCAGAUUUACUUAAAUAUUUUUUUCGGAGGUUGGACUGUAUUAUCUUUAAUAUAAUAUGGACAUAUAUUAUGAUUCAAAGCAGUGUAUUUUCUCCGCUUGUGUGGAUUGCCUCUGCCGUCUAGUUCAAGUCCCCGUUAAGCCGAAAGGGAUCGCUGUAGGCGCUCUAAAGAGUGUGUGCGCGCGACUGGUAAUCACGUGGUGAAAAAAAAAUCUACAGCGCAAAUAAAGGGGGGAAAGAGUGAUGACGCAGGAACAGGGAGGAAUGGAGGCAGCCUUUUCAAAAAGAAGGAAAAAGCGGAGAGAGGAGCAGGGGAGGGCUAAACAAAAGCGAGUGGAGCGCCUAAUGAUCAGAUGACAGCGCGGCACAGCAGCAUGAUGCUGACACCAAUACAAGACUCAUCGGAAUAGGACCUUUUAUUUAUUUAGUUUUGUUGCAUAAAUGCUAAUUGCAUUAAUCAUACAGUGGGGAGACAUUGUGACAACUGCACACACACAGAUGUAUGGCGUUCAUCAGAUGGCGCCGCCCUCCCUCAUGGGGCUGAAUGGCAGACUGCUGGAUGCACUAAGUGAUGAAAUGAUGACCCCAUUAUGAGAAGCGGCUCCAAAAUUAGGGGGUAUCGGCCAAAGAUUGCAGACCGCCGCCAUCCUCCUCCUCCUCCUCUUGCUCGCCCUGCUGCACACACGAUGAUUGAUUCGCUUGAGAUGGAUCACAGGAAGCAGCUAUUGAUUUUUCUUCUCCCUGCCUAUAGUGUUUUAUGAAGAAAAUACUUAUUUACACUUGGGUGUUAUCCAGACUUACUCAAUAUCCACUUUUUAGGGGAAGGAUAAAGGAUCUAAUUGUCCUUGCUCGGUGACGUGACAAAUGACCUGUAAUAUUAUUUCGGUAGGGAGUCAAUAGGUGGGCUGACUAAAUGAAUAUUGAUUGGUUAUAAUGAAGCCCAAGUGUGAAUGGGAGCGCCUUCCCGGGAUCUUGCAGUCAGCAUUCAUAUGUGAUGAUGCCAGACGUACAUGACAGAGACAAAAUACAGUUAAAAAAGGGACGUUUUGCAAAAUAAUUAUUUUGUAAUUGUGAAAAUAGAAUAAUCAUAUUGUACCCAUCAUAAAAGCUUUGCUAACUGUAAAAUCAAUAUUUUACCAUGUAUAUGAUACGUGUAAAAAUAAAGCUACACUAAAACCAAACCAAAAUAUGGCACCACAUAGCAGCAGUACCCUAAAAAGGUUUUUUUUGUUUUAUAAUAAAUUCAGAAGUAGGUUAAUGGUAUUGUUGCCAGCAAGUCAAUAAUCUGAAUCGUGAUUUUUCCCAUUCUUAACUGUCAUACAAAUGAAAAAAACAAGUUAACCAUCGUUGAGCAAGACUAAAGUGCCAACUAAAAUGAUGUGAUUCAGUCAUGAUGGAAAUGUAGUUUCCACAAAAUUGUCAGUAAGACAUUUCUGAAGGUGAGCCAGCAUUCUGCACUGUAUAUUUAACUUUCUUAACUUGCAUACAAAUGUAAAAAAAAAAAGUUAAAACCUGUGUUGUGAAACAUGUGUGUGAAUGUGUCCAUGGAUGUGAAUGUGAAUUGUUGUUCGAGAUGCUAACAACCACCGCACUGCAAUCAUUUGCACCAACUGGAAUCGGAAAAAAGGAGAGUAACUGUACGUGAGGCAUAAUGAAAUUUGACGAGGUUGGUGAUAGAUCACAGCCCAGGUAAUGUAAACACAUUAAUCCCUCGGGGUUCACCCACUCUUCCUCUCUCUUUAGCCCUCCCCACCCCAGACCCCUGAUCUCUACUCCAUGCUCAUCAUCUUCCCUAAAUGUGUUAUUGGAGCACAAAACCAGAAGCAGCCUUAAUCUGUCAACAUGGCCUUUAAUUGGACCACCGGAAGAAAAAAAAAAGAAGAAAAUCGGUGCCACUCCUAAGUGCACACAUGCCAUACGAAGGAAGUUCAUCUGGUGAGAGCUCGGGAGGCAUAAUUAAAAGUAGCUUUUAAUAGGCUUGUAAUGCAGAGCUGACUUUAAGUAGAGGCCAGACAUGUGAGGGGGCUUGUAAACGAUAUGCCACCGCCAUCUGACAUCAUGCCACCCCCCACCACCACUACGGUCACCAAAAACAACGCUGGGAAAAACCUUCACACAUUCCAUUUUUGUCAUUUAAACAGGCCACUGACACCUUCAAGAGUAUUUCUAAUUUUGUUCUUUUGUCUGUUGUGUUCAAGGUAGAACUCUGACAUCACCCCGCCACCAUUUCUCCUAUCUUGGAUAUGGCGAGAUGUCGUCACUGGGACCCAAUUGAACGUUUUCAAAUUAGAUCUUCAUCAUUAUGAUUUUUUUCAAGUUGCAUUUUACAUUUAAUUUAGCUGUCACAAAUAAAAAUCAUUUUUUAAAUUUAA
Long non-coding RNA from Syngnathus typhle (broad-nosed pipefish), 3408 nucleotides. RefSeq lists it as uncharacterized. The record is from RefSeq and is a predicted model, not a curated record. Lineage: Eukaryota; Metazoa; Chordata; Actinopteri; Syngnathiformes; Syngnathidae. The transcript has 2 exons.